AUGGGCGAAAGCCUGACCGAGCAACGCCGCGUGAGCGAUGAAGGCCUUCGGGUCGUAAAGCUCUGUUGUUAGAGAAGAACAAGUACGAGAGUAACUGCUCGUACCUUGACGGUACCUAACCAGAAAGCCACGGCUAACUACGUGCCAGCAGCCGCGGUAAUACGUAGGUGGCAAGCGUUAUCCGGAAUUAUUGGGCGUAAAGCGCGCGCAGGCGGUCUCUUAAGUCUGAUGUGAAAGCCCACGGCUCAACCGUGGAGGGUCAUUGGAAACUGGGAGACUUGAGUGCAGGAGAGAAAAGUGGAAUUCCACGUGUAGCGGUGAAAUGCGUAGAGAUGUGGAGGAACACCAGUGGCGAAGGCGGCUUUUUGGCCUGUAACUGACGCUGAGGCGCGAAAGCGUGGGGAGCAAACAGGAUUAGAUACCCUGGUAGUCCACGCCGUAAACGAUGAGUGCUAGGUGUUGGGGGGUUCCACCCUCAGUGCUGAAGUUAACACAUUAAGCACUCCGCCUGGGGAGUACGACCGCAAGGUUGAAACUCAAAGGAAUUGACGGGGGCCCGCACAAGCAGUGGAGCAUGUGGUUUAAUUCGAAGCAACGCGAAGAACCUUACCAGGUCUUGACAUCCUCUGACCACUCUAGAGAUAGAGCUUUCCCCUUCGGGGGACAGAGUGACAGGUGGUGCAUGGUUGUCGUCAGCUCGUGUCGUGAGAUGUUGGGUUAAGUCCCGCAACGAGCGCAACCCUUGACCUUAGUUGCCAGCAUUCAGUUGGGCACUCUAAGGUGACUGCCGGUGACAAACCGGAGGAAGGUGGGGAUGACGUCAAAUCAUCAUGCCCCUUAUGACCUGGGCUACACACGUGCUACAAUGGAUGGUACAAAGGGUUGCGAAGCCGCGAGGCCAAGCCAAUCCCAAAAAGCCAUUCUCAGUUCGGAUUGUAGGCUGCAACUCGCCUACAUGAAGCCGGAAUUGCUAGUAAUCGCGGAUCAGCAUGCCGCGGUGAAUACGUUCCCGGGCCUUGUACACACCGCCCGUCACACCACGAGA
RNAcentral lists this ribosomal RNA (1045 nucleotides) under Fictibacillus sp. OTB88. Its description in RNAcentral is "bacterial SSU rRNA". It matches the Rfam family "Bacterial small subunit ribosomal RNA", at positions 371 to 1409 of the family's 1533-position model. Lineage: Bacteria; Bacillati; Bacillota; Bacilli; Caryophanales; Fictibacillaceae. The record is from RNAcentral.